RNAcentral lists this long non-coding RNA (218 nucleotides) under Gossypium barbadense (sea-island cotton). RNAcentral's name for it is "long non-coding RNA (GBAR_LNC020033)". Lineage: Eukaryota; Viridiplantae; Streptophyta; Magnoliopsida; Malvales; Malvaceae. The record is from RNAcentral.
GAUUUUGGUUUUCAAGGGUUGGAUUUUUGUGCCUAACGAUACUAUGUUGCGGCAGUAGAUUUUAUGAGAAGCACAUAGUAGCCUUUAUGCUAUGCAUCCAGUGGACAUAAGAUGUACAAAGAUCUCCGAGAGUUAUACUAGUUAUAAUAUCCCAUUUUUCUGUGUAACAGAAUAGUGGUUUUGGAACUACGAAUUUUGAUAUGUAAAGUCAAGCUUUA